Pygoscelis adeliae (Adelie penguin) is the source of this 332-nucleotide long non-coding RNA. RefSeq lists it as uncharacterized. The transcript is spliced from 4 exons. NCBI's taxonomy places the organism in Eukaryota, Metazoa, Chordata, Aves, Sphenisciformes, Spheniscidae. The record is from RefSeq and is a predicted model, not a curated record.
AUGCAGAGGGACAAGCCAUGCACCAAAGGGCAAUGGAGCAGAGGUGUGAAGCAGGAUAUCGGCAUGGGAGCUAACUUGGGCAAGGUGCUGCAAACAGACUUGGAGGAGCAGAAGCUGGACACUGAUGAGCAGUCUGAGAAGAUGCCACGCAGGCCACCUUUGGAAUUGGAUGAGCAUUUGAAGUGAGCAAUGGGGGUGGGGGGAAGUGCAGUUAGAACUGGAUUUCUCAGCUACAAAAGCAAAGCUGCCAUGACACAAAGGUAAGAUGGUGCAUAGGAAUGCUGAGGAGAACUCACACAGCACACAAGAAAUGAAUGUCACACUAUUUUCUA